Rattus norvegicus (Norway rat) is the source of this 45-nucleotide non-coding RNA. The record is from Rfam. Lineage: Eukaryota; Metazoa; Chordata; Mammalia; Rodentia; Muridae.
ACAAAGGCUCUUUUCAGAGCCCCCACUGUUUCAAAAAAGGAGUUG